RNAcentral lists this ribosomal RNA (433 nucleotides) under uncultured bacterium. Its description in RNAcentral is "partial 16S ribosomal RNA". It matches the Rfam family "Bacterial small subunit ribosomal RNA", at positions 29 to 507 of the family's 1533-position model. The record is from RNAcentral.
AGCGAACGCUGGCGGCAGGCCUAACACAUGCAAGUCGAACGGAUCCUUCGGGAUUAGUGGCGGACGGGUGAGUAACACGUUGGAACGUGCCCUUUGGUUCGGAACAACUCAGGGAAACUUGAGCUAAUACCGGAUGUGCCCUUCGGGGGAAAGAUUUAUCGCCAUUGGAGCGGCCCGCGUCUGAUUAGCUAGUUGGUGAGGUAACGGCCCACCAAGGCGACGAUCAGUAGCUGGUCUGAGAGGAUGAUCAGCCACACUGGGACUGAGACACGGCCCAGACUCCUACGGGAGGCAGCAGUGGGGAAUCUUGCGCAAUGGGCGAAAGCCUGACGCAGCCAUGCCGCGUGAAUGAUGAAGGUCUUAGGAUUGUAAAAUUCUUUCAGCGGGGACGAUAAUGACGGUACCCGCAGAAGAAGCUCCGGCUAACUUCGUG